Long non-coding RNA from Manis javanica (Malayan pangolin), 1634 nucleotides. RefSeq lists it as uncharacterized. Lineage: Eukaryota; Metazoa; Chordata; Mammalia; Pholidota; Manidae. The record is from RefSeq and is a predicted model, not a curated record.
ACUACAGGAAAAUCUUGAGCCGCCUCGCGCCUCCUGCCGGCAGUACCAGUGCUCUGCGUGCAUUUGCACGGACUCCCGGGGGGUGCCUUCUCCUGGAAGCUGUCAUCUCUACCUCCCUCUUCGCCCGGGGCUCCCAGGCCGUCACUGAGCACAUCAUUGUCCUCACCCCACCUGCUUUGCCCAGCCGUGGACACGGCUCCCCAGCCCCACACAGCCUGUCCUCGGGCGGUGGGGAGUGCAGGCGACGUUAUGGCAUGGAAUGAGAACUCACUGAAGAUUUGUCAGCAGACAUCACUGCUGGCAAAACUCGCUGCUGGCCCCGCCUCAGCAGAUCCCUGCUAAAUCCAUGCCACCCCAGAGAAAUACACACUGAACCAGAUAUAUGUGGCGUUAAAUUUUCCAGUUGCUACAUGAAAAAAUUUAAAGAAAAGUGAACAAACAAAAAAAAUCAAGGUCCUGGACAUGAUCUUAACCUGGAGCUGGCCUUUGCACACUUCUGUCCGGUUCCCUGCCUGGCCGUGGAGGGCGAUCCCACCGUGCCAUCCUGCUUUCACCUCUAGCGUGUCUCCUUCUUCUCCUCUGGGUGCUCAUGUAGCCACUCUCCUGGGGACUCACUCUCCUUUGGUUUGAAUCCUCAGUACAUGUACUUCUUUUGGAGAAGAAGUUUCAUUUCUUUCCAAUUACAAGUGAAAUACCUGCUAAAUGCAAAAACAAAUGAGAAAAUUCCUCAGUAUAAAGAAUCUUCCUAAUGAUACAUCUACAGAAUGCAGAGUCAUAAAAAUACCAUUGAAGGAUUCCUGUUUCAUCUCAGUGUGGACAAGAUUCAUGUAACACAUGAAAGUAAAGUGCUGCACAGGGUACAGAGCACCCACUGCUUACGUCUAGUUCCCCCAAAGGAUGCGCAGGCGACUGGUAAUGCUGGCGGCUCUCUGGAAGGAGAAUAAAUGGCUUGGAAGGAAUUUUUUAUUAGACAGUCUUUUAGAGCUUUUGAUUUUUAUACCAUGUGAUUUUAUUACUUUUUCCAAGAUGAAAUAAAAAAAUUGAGAAAGAAUAGUUUAUUAUGUGGUACUCCAUGAAAAUUACUCUUAAUAUAUAUCCUUCCCAGCUUUAUUUUCUGCAUACACACAGACAUACACACAUGCAUUUUGCUUAUUUCCAUAAAAUUAAGAUCAUGUCAUAAUGAGUUAUAACCUACUUUUCCCUCAUUUACUAUACCCUGGAUAACUUCCCAUAUCAAUGUAUAUAAAUCACAUUGUUAAUUUAAGUAGUUGCAGAGUAAUCCAUUGUAUACUUUUACCAUAAUAUUUUUACCUAAUCCCCUAUAGUUUUUAAGAGCUUCAUUGACAUUCACAUGCCAGAAAAUUCACCCAAAGUGUACAGCCCAGUGGGUAUGUAUUCAGAGUUGUAUGACCAUCACCACAAUCUAGUUUUAGAACAUUUUCACCACUCGAAAAAGAAAAUGCAUACACCUUAGCAGUCACUCACCAUUCUUCCUGUUCUACCUGCCAUAGGCAACCAGUAAUCUAUUUUUUCUCUCUAUGGAUUUGCCUAUUCUGGACAUUUCUUUUAAAUGGAGUCAUGCAUAUAAGGCCUUUUAAAAUAAAACAGUAGCAGACUAACAGACUCCAAGAAGG